This 54-nucleotide transfer RNA is filed under the name Metacrangonyx longipes. RNAcentral's name for it is "transfer RNA-Ser". The record is from RNAcentral. Lineage: Eukaryota; Metazoa; Arthropoda; Malacostraca; Amphipoda; Metacrangonyctidae.
UUUUUUUUUUUUUAAAAAAAAAAAAAAACUUAAUUGUUGUUUGAUUAUUUUUAU